This 484-nucleotide ribosomal RNA is filed under the name uncultured bacterium. RNAcentral describes it as "partial 16S ribosomal RNA". It matches the Rfam family "Bacterial small subunit ribosomal RNA", at positions 30 to 507 of the family's 1533-position model. The record is from RNAcentral.
AUUGAACGCUGGCGGCAGGCCUAACACAUGCAAGUCGAGCGGAUGAAGGGAGCUUGCUCCUGGAUUCAGCGGCGGACGGGUGAGUAAUGCCUAGGAAUCUGCCUGGUAGUGGGGGAUAACGUCCGGAAAUGGGCGCUAAUACCGCAUACGUCCUGAGGGAGAAAGUGGGGGAUCUUCGGACCUCACGCUAUCAGAUGAGCCUAGGUCGGAUUAGCUAGUUGGUGGGGUAAAGGCCUACCAAGGCGACGAUCCGUAACUGGUCUGAGAGGAUGAUCAGUCACACUGGAACUGAGACACGGUCCAGACUCCUACGGGAGGCAGCAGUGGGGAAUAUUGGACAAUGGGCGAAAGCCUGAUCCAGCCAUGCCGCGUGUGUGAAGAAGGUCUUCGGAUUGUAAAGCACUUUAAGUUGGGAGGAAGGGCAGUAAGUUAAUACCUUGCUGUUUUGACGUUACCAACAGUAUAAGCACCGGCUAACUUCGUG